Molecule: ribosomal RNA, 440 nt
Filed under: uncultured bacterium
Lineage: Bacteria
Description: partial 16S ribosomal RNA
Rfam family: Bacterial small subunit ribosomal RNA
Source: RNAcentral
CCUACGGGAGGCUGCAGUGGGGAAUAUUGCACAAUGGGGGAAACCCUGAUGCAGCGACGCCGCGUGAGCGAUGAAGUAUUUCGGUAUGUAAAGCUCUAUCAGCAGGGAAGAAAAUGACGGUACCUGACUAAGAAUCCCCGGCUAACUACGUGCCAGCAGCCGCGGUAAUACGUAGGGGGCAAGCGUUAUCCGGAUUUACUGGGUGUAAAGGGAGCGUAGACGGCGGUGCAGGCCAGAUGUGAAAGCCCGGGGCUCAACCCCGGGACUGCAUUUGGAAAUGGGCUGCUAGAGUGUCGGAGAGGCAGGCGGAAUUCCUAGUGUAGCGGUGAAAUGCGUAGAUAUUAGGAGGAACACCAGGGGCGAAGGCGGCCUGCUGGACGAUGACUGACGUUGAGGCUCGAAAGCGUGGGGAGCAAACAGGAUUAGAUACCCGGGUAGUC